This 426-nucleotide ribosomal RNA is filed under the name uncultured bacterium. RNAcentral's name for it is "bacterial SSU rRNA". It matches the Rfam family "Bacterial small subunit ribosomal RNA", at positions 28 to 434 of the family's 1533-position model. The record is from RNAcentral.
GAUGAACGCUGGCGGCGUGCCUAACACAUGCAAGUCGAACGGAGUUAUGCAGAGGAAGUUUUCGGAUGGAAUCGGCGUAACUUAGUGGCGGACGGGUGAGUAACGCGUGGGAAACCUGCCCUGUACCGGGGGAUAACACUUAGAAAUAGGUGCUAAUACCGCAUAAGCGCACAGCUUCACAUGAAGCAGUGUGAAAAACUCCGGUGGUACAGGAUGGUCCCGCGUCUGAUUAGCCAGUUGGCAGGGUAACGGCCUACCAAAGCGACGAUCGGUAGCCGGACUGAGAGGUUGAACGGGCCACAUUGGGACUGAGACACGGGCCCAGACUCCUACGGGAGGCAGCAGUGGGGGAUAUUGCACAAUGGGCGAAAGCCUGAUGCAGCAACGCCGCGUGAGGGAAGACGGUUUUCGGAUUGGUAAACCUCU